UACGUAGGGUGCAAGCGUUAAUCGGAAUUACUGGGCGUAAAGCGUGCGCAGGCGGUUAUGUAAGACAGAUGUGAAAUGCCCGGGCUUAACCUGGGAACUGCAUUUGUGACUGCAUGGCUAGAGUUUGGCAGAGGGGGGUAGAAUUCCACGUGUAGCAGUGAAAUGCGUAGAUAUGUGGAGGAACACCGAUGGCGAAGGCAGCCCCCUGGGCUAACACUGACGCUCAGGCACGAAAGCGUGGGGAGCAAACAGG
This 253-nucleotide ribosomal RNA is filed under the name uncultured bacterium. RNAcentral describes it as "partial 16S ribosomal RNA". It matches the Rfam family "Bacterial small subunit ribosomal RNA", at positions 524 to 776 of the family's 1533-position model. The record is from RNAcentral.